Arachis ipaensis is the source of this 123-nucleotide non-coding RNA. NCBI's taxonomy places the organism in Eukaryota, Viridiplantae, Streptophyta, Magnoliopsida, Fabales, Fabaceae. The record is from RefSeq and is a predicted model, not a curated record.
CUAAAUCUAAUUCUCCUUGAUUCCAUUAGAUGCCUUGAUAUGUUUGCUAAGUGAUUUAGAUUUAGGAGGCGAGGAUUGGACCAAGGGAAUGUAGGAAAAGCAUGUAGAAAUGGAGAACUCAUG